Long non-coding RNA from Engraulis encrasicolus (European anchovy), 784 nucleotides. RefSeq lists it as uncharacterized. The transcript has 3 exons. NCBI's taxonomy places the organism in Eukaryota, Metazoa, Chordata, Actinopteri, Clupeiformes, Engraulidae. The record is from RefSeq and is a predicted model, not a curated record.
CAUGCCUCACUACCCCAUCUGAAUAGCAGUGAGACCGCUGGAGUUGGAAAAUGUGUACAGCCAAUCAUGAAUCGCGGGUGGGAUUUUGAAUGGAUGGGCGGAGUUAUGGGCGGAUGUGAUGUAAAGCAUUAGCGACAGCAGUGUAGUCUUCACUUCACAACAAACAUGGCAGCGCGCUGUAGUACUAGUACUCAGUGCGCUGAAAUGGAUUCGGCUAUUUCCACGGUAUUGUCUUGUAUUCCAAAUGUUCAGGCAUUGAAAUACGAACAAAUGACGGCGCUUAAGGCGUUUGUUGGCGGCGAGGAUGUGUUUGCGUUUCUUCCGACCGGAUUUGGCAAAAGUUUGAGCUGGCUCCACUGGUCGCUAAAGCCGCUGUGAGAUGGACACUCCCAACUGAGCUCUAGGAGACGUUCUAUCCCACCCGAUUAUAUUUCACGUGCUAAAGCAAUGGGGAAAGUGCAGGAUCCAAUCUUUAUUGUGGUGUUCCCCCUGGCUGCGUUAAUGGAGGACCAAGUCAGAGAGGCUGGAAAUCUAACGGGUAUGGAACUGGGAGGAAGACAUCAUUCAGGGACCAGCGACGUUGCCAGGCCAGCCGGUCUUCGGUAGCCCCGAGUCGUGGCUGAAGGACAAAUGACUGACCAUGCUAUCCUCAGACCUCUACCAGAAGAAUCUACUGGGCAUCGUUGUCGAUGAGGUUCACGUCACCUACAAAUGGAAUGAAAGGCCUUCCUGCUCAGUUGGGAGAACGUCACAGCAAAGAAGACAUGCCUGUCAUGGCUUAAAU